This 103-nucleotide unclassified non-coding RNA is filed under the name Debaryomycetaceae sp. Its description in RNAcentral is "partial internal transcribed spacer 2". Lineage: Eukaryota; Fungi; Ascomycota; Pichiomycetes; Serinales; Debaryomycetaceae. RNAcentral also lists the same sequence under 2 other names. The record is from RNAcentral.
CUCCCUCAAACCUCUGGUUUGGCGUUGAGUGAUACUCGGUUUACUUGAAAAACAUGAAAAGCAUAACUAUUAGGUUUUACCAACUCGUUAUACUAAUCUACAA